UAAGACGAACCGUGCAAACGUUGUUCGGAAUCACUGGGCUUAAAGGGCGCGUAGGCGGGUGAUCAAGUCAGGGGUGAAAUCUUUCGGCUUAACCGGAAAAUUGCCUUUGAUACUGGUCGUCUCGAGUGAGGUAGGGGCAUGUGGAACUUCCGGUGGAGCGGUGAAAUGCGUUGAUAUCGGAAGGAACGCCGGUGGCGAAAGCGACGUGCUGGACCUCUUCUGACGCUGAUGCGCGAAAGCUAGGGGAGCGAACGGGAUUAGAUACCCCGGUAGUCCUAGCCCUAAACGAUGGGUACUAGGUAGUGGACUUAACAUGGGUUCACUGCCGAAGCAAAAGUGUUAAGUACCCCGCCUGGGGAGUAUGGUCGCAAGGCUG
This 376-nucleotide ribosomal RNA is filed under the name uncultured bacterium. RNAcentral describes it as "bacterial SSU rRNA". It matches the Rfam family "Bacterial small subunit ribosomal RNA", at positions 521 to 896 of the family's 1533-position model. The record is from RNAcentral.